UAUAUUGUACGACUCUCAUCGUA
RNAcentral lists this microRNA (23 nucleotides) under Nematostella vectensis (starlet sea anemone). RNAcentral's name for it is "nve-miR-2036-3p". The record is from miRBase by way of RNAcentral. Lineage: Eukaryota; Metazoa; Cnidaria; Anthozoa; Actiniaria; Edwardsiidae. RNAcentral also lists the same sequence under 1 other name.